UAGAGUUUGAUCCUGGCUCAGAUUGAACGCUGGCGGAAUGCUUACACAUGCAAGUCGAACGGCAGCACGGGAGCUUGCUCCUGGUGGCGAGUGGCGAACGGGUGAGUAAUGUAUCGGAACGUACCCCGUCGUGGGGGAUAACUCUCCGAAAGGAGAGCUAAUACCGCAUACGACCCGAGGGUGAAAGCGGGGGACCUGGGGUAACCUGGGCCUCGCGCGAUGGGAGCGGCCGAUAUCGGAUUAGCUAGUUGGUGGGGUAAAGGCCUACCAAGGCGACGAUCCGUAGCGGGUCUGAGAGGACGACCCGCCACACUGGAACUGAGACACGGUCCAGACUCCUACGGGAGGCAGCAGUGGGGAAUUUUGGACAAUGGGCGCAAGCCUGAUCCAGCCAUUCCGCGUGAGUGAAGAAGGCCUUCGGGUUGUAAAGCUCUUUCAGCAGGAACGAAACGGUGGGUCUUAAUACGGCCUGCUAAUGACGGUACCUGCAGAAGAAGCACCGGCUAACUACGUGCCAGCAGCCGCGGUAAUACGUAGGGUGCGAGCGUUAAUCGGAAUUACUGGGCGUAAAGCGUGCGCAGGCGGCGACAUAAGACAGAUGUGAAAUCCCCGGGGCUCAACCUGGGAACGGCGUUUGUGACUGUGUGGCUAGAGUGUAGCAGAGGGGGGUGGAAUUCCACGUGUAGCAGUGAAAUGCGUAGAGAUGUGGAGGAACACCGAUGGCGAAGGCAGCCCCCUGGGUCAACACUGACGCUCAUGCACGAAAGCGUGGGGAGCAAACAGGAUUAGAUACCCUGGUAGUCCACGCCCUAAACGAUGCCAACUAGGUGUUGGGGGAGGAGACUUCCUUAGUACCGUAGCUAACGCGUGAAGUUGGCCGCCUGGGGAGUACGGUCGCAAGAUUAAAACUCAAAGGAAUUGACGGGGACCCGCACAAGCGGUGGAUGAUGUGGAUUAAUUCGAUGCAACGCGAAAAACCUUACCUACCCUUGACAUGUCCGGAAUCCCGAAGAGAUUUGGGAGUGCUCGAAAGAGAGCCGGAACACAGGUGCUGCAUGGCUGUCGUCAGCUCGUGUCGUGAGAUGUUGGGUUAAGUCCCGCAACGAGCGCAACCCUUAUCAUUAGUUGCCAUCAUUGAGUUGGGCACUCUAAUGAGACUGCCGGUGACAAACCGGAGGAAGGUGGGGAUGACGUCAAGUCCUCAUGGCCCUUAUGGGUAGGGCUUCACACGUCAUACAAUGGUCGGUACAGAGGGUUGCCAACCCGCGAGGGGGAGCUAAUCUCACAAAGCCGAUCGUAGUCCGGAUCGCAGUCUGCAACUCGACUGCGUGAAGUCGGAAUCACUAGUAAUCGUGGAUCAGCAUGUCACGGUGAAUACGUUCCCGGGUC
Molecule: ribosomal RNA, 1389 nt
Filed under: uncultured beta proteobacterium
Lineage: Bacteria; Pseudomonadati; Pseudomonadota; Betaproteobacteria
Description: bacterial SSU rRNA
Rfam family: Bacterial small subunit ribosomal RNA
Source: RNAcentral